CACGUAGUUAGCCGGGGCUUCUUACUCAGGUACCGUCAUUUCUUUCUUCCCUGCUGAUAGAGCUUUACAUACCGAGAUACUUCUUCACUCACGCGGCGUCGCUGGAUCAGGGUUCCCCCCAUUGUCCAAUAUCCCCCACUGCUGCCUCCCGUAGGAGUUUGGGCCGUGUCUCAGUCCCAAUGUGGCCGUCCACCUCUCAGGCCGGCUACUGAUCGUCGCCUUGGUGGGCCGUUACCUCACCAACUAGCUAAUCAGACGCGGGUCCAUCAUAUACCACCGGAGUUUUCACACCUGGCCAUGCGGCCAUGUGCGCUUAUGCGGUAUAGCACCUAUUUCUAAGUGUUAUCCCCUGUACUAUGGCUAGGUUACCCACGCGUUACUCACCCGUCCGCCACUAAAGAUACACUUGAUUUCGAACCGAAUCUCGUCGCCGUAUAUUCUUCCGUUCGACUUCGCUAUGUUAGUAAGUCACGCCCG
This 477-nucleotide ribosomal RNA is filed under the name uncultured Lachnospiraceae bacterium. Its description in RNAcentral is "partial 16S ribosomal RNA". Lineage: Bacteria; Bacillati; Bacillota; Clostridia; Lachnospirales; Lachnospiraceae. The record is from RNAcentral.